UAGCAAAAUCCGUGUUUUCAUUUUACGAGGAAAUAGCAAGUCCCGCGUUUUCCGGUUACGAGGUCUUGACAACGAUUUCUGCUUACGUGGAAUUAACGAGUCCCGCGUUCUUUAGUUUUUAAUUUCGUCGUUAUUUUCUCGUUAUUUUACGAGGAUUAUGUUUAAAUCCAUAAAAUCCGAAACCCCAAACCUCAUCUUCCUUGUCUUCUACUUCAUAUAUUUCAAACGCCAAACCCAUCUUCCCUUUAACCUCAAUCUAUUCUUUCCAUUCCAAACCCCAAAUUCUAAAACCACAAUUGCUUAACUUAUAAUCUCAAUCUCUUAUUUUUAAUACAAAC
RNAcentral lists this long non-coding RNA (338 nucleotides) under Brassica napus (rape). RNAcentral's name for it is "long non-coding RNA (BNAP_LNC014884)". Lineage: Eukaryota; Viridiplantae; Streptophyta; Magnoliopsida; Brassicales; Brassicaceae. The record is from RNAcentral.